This is a long non-coding RNA of Pezoporus occidentalis (night parrot), 1287 nucleotides long. RefSeq lists it as uncharacterized. Lineage: Eukaryota; Metazoa; Chordata; Aves; Psittaciformes; Psittacidae. The transcript has 2 exons. The record is from RefSeq and is a predicted model, not a curated record.
AGAAUAAGCUGUAAGGAACGAUCAAAUAGAACGGAAAGUAUUACAGACCUACCAAUGCUUCUAACUGUGCACAGCUUAUCAGUUCAAUAGUUUUUAUAUUGGAAUAACUCAGAGCUAGUUAGAUUACUCAUGAUUUUCAUCACAUUUAUUGGAUCAGCAUCAGUGUUCAAAUGGGAGGUAUCUGCAUGUGCUAGAACAAUGUCUCUCUAACGUCAACAAACAUCUGCUGUGGCAGAAGACCAAAAUCAGCAAAGGCUAAUUCAUCGAUGGCUUAUUAUUUGAAUCUGUGUCCCUGUCUCGAGUCAGGCUUGUGAUGGGUUCAUCUGCUGCCUCCUCUCCCCAAGCUGCCUUUUAAGCAGUCGCUGGCAUUUCGUGCUGCCCUUAGGUCAGGUCCAACUCGAUCAGCAUCGGUUUAUUAUGAAAUGCCCAGAGUGAUUUUACUCAUCGUGUCUAUCUCAAAACAGUUCAAGAGAAAGUUUAAAUAUUAUUCCUGGCUCCUUCAGCUGCCAACUCCAACAGCUUUUUCAUGAAGUUUCCAUGCUGCUCUGUAAAAUGGUAAGAGUUCUUUUCCACUGAUUUACAUUGGCCUAAAACCAUUGAAGUAGGCUAAAAAAAAAAGAAGAAAGGAUUCCAUUUGUGCUUUCAAGGCAUUUCUGUGUGAAACCCAGACUCUCAUGGACCUGUGGCACAGAUAGAUAGCAGCAGAAGGGAGCUGGCUGCAGCUGGGUGCAGUGUUACCUGCCAGCAUAACCUGCACCAGGGGUGAUGAAUAUGUUUCAGCACACAGGCUGUGAACAUUUUGACUAAUCAAAGGUUAUUAGCAUCUCCCUGUUGCCUUUUGGUCUUGGAAGGCAGCAAAUACAGGCUUCCCUGUUUCAUCAAAGCAAAGAUAACAGUAGGCUGCAAACACCAGAGCCUGAUUUACAGUGCAUUUAAAUCCCACUAGGUAAGGGAUGCUUGGCCUGAUAAAGUUCAGAGCAGUUUGGUGCUGUGCUCAGGUUCACGCAUGAGAAAAGUGGCAAUAUAAACUGUAAACACAAAAGCAGUCAUUCACAUUCACAGCUGUGGAUGUUAAAAGCUUCACAGCAGUCAGGUGAAGCCCAAUCAGCCUAACAGAUAAGGAAAAUGAGGCACAGGAGUGGUCCUUGCCUGAAGCUGAACAAGUGGGUUUGAAGCUGGGAAUAGACCCAAGCUCUCCAGAGAGCCAACACUGCACAGAGCCACUGCUGUUACCUGCUAAGGAAAAAGGAGCUGAGUAAUAAACGCCAGUAGCAAUGCUUCAGCAGC